UCGGGAAUAUUGCGGCAAUGGAGGAAACUCUGACGCAGUGACGCCGCGUGCAGGAAGAAGGUUUUCGGAUUGUAAACUGCUUUUAGACAGGGACGAAAAAAUGACGGUACCUGUAGAAUAAGCACCGGCUAACUCCGUGCCAGCAGCCGCGGUAAUACGGAGGGUGCAAGCGUUAAUCGGAAUAACUGGGCGUAAAGGGCAUGCAGGCGGUUCAUCAAGUAGGAUGUGAAAUCCCCGGGCUCAACCUGGGAACAGCAUACUAAACUGGUGGACUAGAGUAUUGCAGGGGGAGACGGAAUUCCAGGUGUAGCGGUGGAAUGCGUAGAUAUCUGGAAGAACACCAAAGG
This 347-nucleotide ribosomal RNA is filed under the name uncultured Succinivibrio sp. Its description in RNAcentral is "bacterial SSU rRNA". It matches the Rfam family "Bacterial small subunit ribosomal RNA", at positions 355 to 715 of the family's 1533-position model. Lineage: Bacteria; Pseudomonadati; Pseudomonadota; Gammaproteobacteria; Aeromonadales; Succinivibrionaceae. The record is from RNAcentral.